GAUGAAGAACGCAGCGAAAUGCGAUAAGUAAUGUGAAUUGCAGAAUUCAGUGAAUCAUCGAGUCUUUGAACGCACAUUGCGCCCCCUGGUAUUCCGGGGGGCAUGCCUGUCCGAGCGUCAUUGCUGCCCUCAAGCACGGCUUGUGUGUUGGGCCGCCGUCCCCGGGUUCCCCCGGGGACGGGCCCGAAAGGCAGCGGCGGCACCGCGUCCGAUCCUCGAGCGUAUGGGGCUUUGUCACCCGCUCUGUAGGCCCGGCCGGCGCCAGCCGACACCCAACUUUAUUUCUAAGGUUGACCUCGGAUCAGGUAGGGAUACCCGCUGAACUUAAGCAUAUCAAUAAGCGGAGGA
This 348-nucleotide unclassified non-coding RNA is filed under the name soil metagenome. RNAcentral describes it as "partial contains 5.8S ribosomal RNA, internal transcribed spacer 2, and large subunit ribosomal RNA". The stretch from base 1 to 120 matches the Rfam family "5.8S ribosomal RNA", at positions 35 to 154 of the family's 154-position model. The record is from RNAcentral.